This is a long non-coding RNA of Lingula anatina, 885 nucleotides long. The record is from RefSeq and is a predicted model, not a curated record. NCBI's taxonomy places the organism in Eukaryota, Metazoa, Brachiopoda, Lingulata, Lingulida, Lingulidae.
UAUUUUGGUGAGAGGUGUUCAGAAAGGACCGAGGUCAGUAGAAAAUGGAGGAGAAAGCCUUGUGUCUCAUUGCCACAAUUUUCACGAAAUGGUCGGAAAUCUGGGACUGAAAUUGCCAUCGAUCUGUUAUGGAAUGCAUUUGCCAGAAAACGGGUGGUGAGAGAUUUGCCCCAGCAGUGAACGCGUCUUCCGUCUUAAUUAAUGUAAGGAGAUCUUGGCAGUGACUCAACCGUGCACGAGAAGAUUGAAUACGUUCUCCAUCAAUGACGUCAGACUCGUGUUCCACAGCGGCUGCAUCCAUGUCAAGAUUACAUGUCGCUUGUCAGAGUUUGCCUGCUAGUAAAUUUGCAGGGUUGAAACUUAAUAUGAAGUGUAAUGUUUGGUUUGGGUUGUGAAUCGGCUGUAGUUAUUUUAAAACUAUUUCAAAGUAGUGUUCAGGAAGAGUACUUUGCUACACGUACAUGUAGUAGUGGUUUAUUUCCGUGUAGGUGUUGCAACGUAAACAACAAUGCACAUGUAGGACGACCGGUUUUCUUUUUGAUGGUAACAUAUUUGUGAGGACAAAUCUGCAAUUUGGCAGUUCUCCGUGAACAAUUAUUUAUUUAAAAUUGAAUUCUAGUAUUUAUUUUGGUGAUGUUUAGUUUUGGAAAGAAAGAAAACAUUCCAACCGUGUAAAAUGCAUUUUUGGAAGUCUUUGGAAGUUAUUGUUAUAUUGUCAAGUCGUCAAGUUAUAUUGUCAAGUACGCGCCAUAUUUGAUCCACGGACUAGAUAGACGGUGGUUCAACUGGUUGUGAACUCGGUCUAAUGCUUUAGAAAGCGUCUGGAAGUUGCAGUGUGUGUUCAGUUGCUCUUCGGAAGAAAAAAAGAGCGAGAUGUGCAUCCAC